GAUCCUGGCUCAGGAUGAACGCUAGCUACAGGCUUAACACAUGCAAGUCGAGGGGAAACGAUAUUGGAAGCUUGCUUCCGAUAGGCGUCGACCGGCGCACGGGUGAGUAACGCGUAUCCAACCUGCCCACACUUGGGGAUAACCUUGCGAAAGUAAGACUAAUACCCAAUGACGUCUCUAGAAGACAUCUGAAAGAGAUUAAAGAUUUAUCGGUGAAGGAUGGGGAUGCGUCUGAUUAGCUUGUUGGUGAGGUAACGGCUCACCAAGGCGACGAUCAGUAGGGGUUCUGAGAGGAAGGUCCCCCACAUUGGAACUGAGACACGGUCCAAACUCCUACGGGAGGCAGCAGUGAGGAAUAUUGGUCAAUGGGCGAGAGCCUGAACCAGCCAAGUAGCGUGCAGGAUGACGGCCCUAUGGGUUGUAAACUGCUUUUAUAAGGGAAUAAAGUGGGUCACGUGUGACUUUUUGCAUGUACCUUAUGAAUAAGGACCGGCUAAUUCCGUG
RNAcentral lists this ribosomal RNA (504 nucleotides) under uncultured bacterium. RNAcentral's name for it is "bacterial SSU rRNA". It matches the Rfam family "Bacterial small subunit ribosomal RNA", at positions 15 to 507 of the family's 1533-position model. The record is from RNAcentral.